This 72-nucleotide transfer RNA is filed under the name Chelonia mydas (Green sea turtle). It matches the Rfam family "tRNA". Rfam says of the family: Transfer RNA (tRNA) molecules are approximately 80 nucleotides in length. Their secondary structure includes four short double-helical elements and three loops (D, anti-codon, and T loops). Lineage: Eukaryota; Metazoa; Chordata; Testudines; Cheloniidae. The record is from Rfam by way of RNAcentral.
GGCAGUGCGGCCUAAUGGCUAGAGCACUAGACUAGGACUCAGGAGACAUGGGUUCUAUUCUCACCUCUGCCA